RNAcentral lists this ribosomal RNA (40 nucleotides) under Russula roseopileata. RNAcentral describes it as "partial 28S ribosomal RNA". Lineage: Eukaryota; Fungi; Basidiomycota; Agaricomycetes; Russulales; Russulaceae. The record is from RNAcentral. RNAcentral also lists the same sequence under 1 other name.
CUUUGACCUCAAAUCGGGUGAGACUACCCGCUGAACUUAA